Molecule: ribosomal RNA, 450 nt
Filed under: uncultured bacterium
Lineage: Bacteria
Description: partial 16S ribosomal RNA
Rfam family: Bacterial small subunit ribosomal RNA
Source: RNAcentral
CCUACGGGCGGCUGCAGUCGAGAAUCUUCGGCAAUGGGCGCAAGCCUGACCGAGCGACGCCGCGUGCGGGAUGAAGGCCUUCGGGUUGCAAACCGCUGUCAGAGGGGAGGAAAUGCAUGGGAGUUCUCUCUCAUGUUUGACCUAUCCUCAGAGGAAGUACGGGCUAAGUUCGUGCCAGCAGCCGCGGUAAUACGAACCGUACGAACGUUAGUCGGAUUAGCGGGCCUUGGAGCGUGCGUAGGCUGCUGGGGAAAGCCCUCGGCUCAACCGAGGAAUUGCGCCCAAAACUACCUGGCUUGAGGAAGAUAGAGGUAAGCGGAACUAAUGGUGGAGCGGUGAAAUGCGUUGAUAUCAUUAGGAACACCUGUGGCGAAAGCAGCUUACUGGGUCUUUUCUGACGCUGAUGCACGAAAGCUAGGGGAGCGAACGGGAUUAGAUACCCCGGUAGUC